GCGCCCUUAGCUCAGUGGAUAGAGCAUCGGUUUUCUAAACCGAGGGUCGAAGGUUCGAAUCCUCCAGGGCGCGCCA
RNAcentral lists this transfer RNA (76 nucleotides) under Alphaproteobacteria bacterium MarineAlpha5_Bin4. RNAcentral describes it as "tRNA-Arg". It matches the Rfam family "tRNA". Rfam says of the family: Transfer RNA (tRNA) molecules are approximately 80 nucleotides in length. Their secondary structure includes four short double-helical elements and three loops (D, anti-codon, and T loops). Lineage: Bacteria; Pseudomonadati; Pseudomonadota; Alphaproteobacteria. The record is from RNAcentral.